Molecule: ribosomal RNA, 402 nt
Filed under: uncultured bacterium
Lineage: Bacteria
Description: bacterial SSU rRNA
Rfam family: Bacterial small subunit ribosomal RNA
Source: RNAcentral
UGGGGAAUAUUGCACAAUGGGGGAAACCCUGAUGCAGCGACGCCGCGUGAACGAUGAAGCCCUUCGGGGUGUAAAGUUCUUUCGACAGGAACGAUAAUGACGGUACCUGGAGAAGAAGCUGCGGCUAACUACGUGCCAGCAGCCGCGGUAAUACGUAGGCAGCGAGCGUUGUUCGGAGUUACUGGGCGUAAAGAGUGCGUAGGCGGCGAGCCAAGUUUGGUGUGAAAUCUCCCGGCUUAACCGGGAGGGUGCGCCGAAAACUGGUUGGCUGGAGUAUGGGAGAGGAAAGCGGAAUUCCUGGUGUAGCGGUGAAAUGCGUAGAUAUCAGGAGGAACACCUGCGGUGUAGACAGCUUUCUGGACCAAAACUGACGCUGAGGCACGAAAGCGUGGGUAGCAAACA